CGCUGUCUGCGGCCGGGGAGGGGGAGAGACAGGGUGACCGUCAGGCGGGCCGCUCGGGGCCAGCCCCCGUCGCCUGCGCGCCUCCUCCCGCCAGCCUUUCCAGCCUGCACCGCGAAAUACCGACCGCGUUGUUAGCGGCACGGGAACGGCUUCGGACCUAGGCUAAGGAAUCGGGAGACAAAGUCCUGCAGGACAUCUGUUUGUUUAAGCAAAGGAUCAAGGCUAGAAGGAAGAAAAACAUUCUAAAUGGCGCGCUUAUAAAAGUUUUUACUGUUAACUCCCAGGCCCUCCCUUUGGAUCCCCAGCAUUUAGAACUGCGCUGAGCACUUCAGAUGACAAGCAGUAAAUGUCUGUUGAAUGCACUGCUGACGUCCUACCCUUCUGGAAGGUCAGGGGGAUCCCCCUUCCCCAGAACCCCUCUUUGCAUAAAUUGUCUCAGCUUAUCCUAACAAUUACCUUUUGAGCUUAGCAUUGCCGCAGAAGGACACAGGCUGAGAGAACUUAAGUAAAUGUAUCCAGGUUUCCUUUGAAAGGGACUUACUUUCAAAGGGGAAAUCAACCCCUUUCUCUUUUUAAUCAUACAAGUAAGACACACUGUCUUUUGUAGAAAAGACAGUUCAGCAAAAAGAAAAAAUUACCACCUCUCAGCCCACAAUCCAGAGAAAAAUACUCUUAGCAUUUGGAUGAGGACCUUCCAGCUUUUUUCCCCCAAUAUAUUCUUCAGUUACUUCUUUAAUACAAAAAUUGAAUCACGCUAUAUCAACUCUAGUAGUUUUUUAACCUUUUAUGGGUAACAAAUCCCUUUGAAAAUGUGAUAACUUUCACCUAUCGCCUCAGAAAAAUGCACAUUCUUCCUAAAGUCUGUGGAUAAUUCCAGGGCAUCUGUGAAGCCCAUAAAGCCAUCCAUGGGCAUGGACUCCAGGCUAAGAACCCUGCUAUAUACAGAUUUCCUUUUCAAAACUAGCUUUUCCACUUACUGUGUCCUAAACACCUUUCCAUGCCAAUAACCAUGUUUCCAACACCAUAUUUUUUUUUAAUGGCUGUAUUAUGUCCUGCUUUAUGGAGCCCCAUCAUUUAUAAUAAAAGUCAUCAUGCACGAUGAAUUACCCCUGCAUUUCAUCCUUAAAACAUCCCGUGGAAGUGUUCCCAUUAUGGAGAUAAAACUCAGAGAUGUGAUGUGACAGCCACCAGGUGGCAGAUCUGAAAUUGAAGCAAGGUCUGUCCAACUCCUGAUACCACAUUCUUUGCUUUCAGGACCCCUCCUUGUUUAUCGAACCCCUUCUGUGGGAGUCAAAGUCCCCAAAUUUGGCUAGUGCCACUGUAGACCACAGCAGGGGCCAAUCCCUCCCUGAGAGCCUUUCCUCUGAACCUCCCAAAGCGAGAAUCUGUGCUUUCUCUCCAGGACCUGGCAGUGGAAUCCUUUUGUCCAACAAAACCAAAAUUUCUGGUUGAAGUCUAAGAAGAAGCCAUAGUGCCUGCCAACUCAGCCGCCUCAAAGAUGCCUCUGUAGAACCCCAGCGUUCCAAGGAACCCAGCUAGAGAACCAAAGGAAAUCCUGGAUCGCUCCCCAGCUGUACCGCCCCCAACACACAGCUCUAUUCUUCAGCCACAUUUCAUUGCAGAAUUGGAUCAUCUCAGAGCAGUUAUAUGGUCCUUCUUUCUGGAGGUAGGAAGCUGUUAUUCUUGGAAAUACCAGCCCAGGCUUGGCCGGGACACCCUGAGGAAAGAGGCAAUCUCCUGAACUCCAGCAUGUCGAGGGUGCCUCGAAGGCUUGAAGCAGGCCUGCAGGGGUCAUGGUGGGGGCACCAGCGGGCCUCGUUAUGUUAGGGCAGUGGGGGUUGGGAUGGGGCACCCCCUUGGUGGUGUCACUUCAGGAAGAGACACCACCCCCUACCUCCACUCUGUCCGGAGAGACAGCCAACGUGUCCGUGGCCUGACUUGCAUAUCUGCUAGGUGCCAAGUACCCCAGGAUAUCUGUGAUCCGAAGAGCAGAUAUGGGCCAGGUGGGGUUUGGAGGGUUUUGGCCACAGGUCCCAGAGAGAGGCAGAAAGGGAGAGGGGGCAGACCUAGCAGGAAGUCCCUGCAGAUGAGACACUGGUCUGGGAGGCAACCACCUCGAGAAAGACAAGCCCGUCCUCAGAGCUACCAAGGCAGAGAGUGACUUCUUCAGGGGAAGGAGAAACUCAAAGCCAAGAUGGCUUAGGAGGGAGAGCAGGGAAAGCCACAGGCAGUGAAGGGAU
Neofelis nebulosa (Clouded leopard) is the source of this 2240-nucleotide long non-coding RNA. RefSeq lists it as uncharacterized. Lineage: Eukaryota; Metazoa; Chordata; Mammalia; Carnivora; Felidae. The transcript has 4 exons. The record is from RefSeq and is a predicted model, not a curated record.